RNAcentral lists this ribosomal RNA (168 nucleotides) under Aeromonas veronii. Its description in RNAcentral is "partial 23S ribosomal RNA". It matches the Rfam family "Bacterial large subunit ribosomal RNA", at positions 2763 to 2925 of the family's 2925-position model. Lineage: Bacteria; Pseudomonadati; Pseudomonadota; Gammaproteobacteria; Aeromonadales; Aeromonadaceae. The record is from RNAcentral.
GAUAACCGCUGAAAGCAUCUAAGCGGGAAGCGAGCCCUGAGAUGAGUCAUCCCUGACCCCUUGAGGGUCCUAAAGGGCCGUUGGAGACCACAACGUUGAUAGGUGGGGUGUGUAAGCGCAGUGAUGUGUUGAGCUAACCCAUACUAAUUACCCGUGAGGCUUAACCAU